RNAcentral lists this unclassified non-coding RNA (1325 nucleotides) under Agrilus planipennis (emerald ash borer). RNAcentral describes it as "zinc finger protein 570-like, transcript variant X4". The record is from RNAcentral. Lineage: Eukaryota; Metazoa; Arthropoda; Insecta; Coleoptera; Buprestidae.
AACCUUAAAUAUUAAAGUUCACACUUGUUUAUUUUCAAUCAACAUCUGUCACCUGUCAGUAACCUGUCAGUGGAGCCGUCAAAGUUCUGUCAGCGUUUGUUAUUAUUAUAAUAUGGACAUGGAUGGUAUAUGGCAUUUUUCUACAAAGGAACAUAAUAGAAAAAAAGAGUUUUUAAAUUUAGAUAAUACAAAAGAAGAAACCGUUAUAAAAACAGAAGUAAAAGAUGAUAUAUUUGAAAGUGAAAUCGAAUUUAUUGACGAAACUCGUUACUAUAAUAUAAAAAAUGAACCAUUAAAUUUAAAUGAUAUAAAAGAAGAAACCACUAUCCAACCAGGAGAAGAAAAUACUUUUGAAGGUAAAAUUGGGCUUACCACCGGAAUAUGGGGUGUUUUUAUUAAGGAAGAUGAUAAACAAAAGGAAUUUUUAAACUUAAAUGAUAUAAAAGAAGAAACUGUUAUAAAAAAGGAAUUAGAAGAUGAUAUUUUUGAAGAAGAAAUUAAGCUUAAUUUAAAAAAUAUCAAUGCAGAUGUAACUGAUGCCACUUAUGUUGAGUUAAAGAAACUUAAAUGUAAAUUCUGUCCACAAGUUUAUACAUCAAUAUUAGACUUAAGCAGUCACUUGAAAGUUCACAGUGAGAGGACAUCAUUACCAUGUUCAGAAACCAAGAAAAAGUUUGAGUGUGAUAUUUGUCACAAAUCACAUUUGAGAGAACAUUCAACAUCACACAGAGAAGAACUGCAAUUUGAAUGUGAAACCUAUGAACAGAGCUUUUCUCAAAAUAGUCAAAGUUCACAAAAGACAGAUGAUAUUGUUAUUGAAUCCCAUAAUGAGCAAAAUCCAUCAAAUCAAAGACAUAUGGUAACAGUCAGAGUGGACAAUAAGGAUGUUCUGAAAAAAGCGCGACAACAAAGAUAUCGUGAAAGACACCGUGAGGAAAUUAACAAGCGAAAAAGAGCUAGUGCCCUAAAUAAAGAAAGAGAACGCAGGCAAUUUCUACAAAAUGAACAGCGCAUUGCAACGGGACAAAUUACUGAAGCAACAUCAAAUGAUCAGUUAGUGGAAAUUGUUCAAAUGUAUAUUUAUUAUUUAUUUUUUAAUGUUUUAUUUAAUAACAAAAUUUCAUAACUUUAGAGUGGACAAUAAGGAUGCUCUAAAAAAAGCCAGACAACAGAGAUAUCGUGAAAGGCACCGUGAAGAAAUUAACAAGCGCAAAAGAGUUGGAAGGCUAUAUCAAGGUGAUUCAAUGAGUCAUCAUACAUUGCAGGCGGGCGAACGUCCAUUUGAAUGUCCCAUUUGCAGUAAAUUUUUUGUCCAAAAAGCGGAC